AGUCGACGAACUCUUCGGAGUUAGUGGCGCACGGGUGCGUAACGCGUGGGAAUCUGCCCUUGGGUACGGAAUAACUCAGAGAAAUUUGUGCUAAUACCGUAUAAUGUCUUCGGACCAAAGAUUUAUCGCCCAAGGAUGAGCCCGCGUAAGAUUAG
Molecule: ribosomal RNA, 155 nt
Filed under: bacterium
Lineage: Bacteria
Description: partial 16S ribosomal RNA
Rfam family: Bacterial small subunit ribosomal RNA
Source: RNAcentral